Molecule: ribosomal RNA, 587 nt
Filed under: uncultured freshwater bacterium
Lineage: Bacteria
Description: bacterial SSU rRNA
Rfam family: Bacterial small subunit ribosomal RNA
Source: RNAcentral
AGAGUUUGAUCCUGGCUCAGAAUGAACGUUGGCGGCGUGGAUUAGGCAUGCAAGUCGUGCGGAAGUAGUAGCAAUACUUCUUUAGCGGCGAAAGGGAUAGUAACACGUGGAUAACCAACCCCUCGGUCAGGGAUAGCUGCUGGAAACGGCAAUUAAUACCUGAUAACAUCUCCGGAUCAAAGGUGUGAUUCCGCCGGGGGACGGGUCCGCGUCCUAUUAGGUAGUUGGUGGGGUAACGGCCUACCAAGCCAAAGAUGGGUAGCGGGUGUGAGAGCACGACCCGCAUCACUGGGACUGAGAUACUGCCCAGACACCUACGGGUGGCUGCAGUCGAGAAUCUUCGGCAAUGGGCGCAAGCCUGACCGAGCGACGCCGCGUGCGGGAUGAAGGCCUUCGGGUUGUAAUCCGCUGUCGUAGGGGAAGAAAUGCUGGUGGGUACUCCCAUCAGUUUGACUGAUCCUAGGAGGAAGUGCAGGCUAACCUCGUGCCAGCAGCCGCGGUAAUACGAGGUGCACAAACGUUAUUCGGAUUUACUGGGCUUAAAGCGUGCGUAGGCGGCCUGGCAAGUUGGGUGUGAAAUCCCUCGG